UCAUAGGUUUUUAUAAAAACCCCCAAAACUCAGCAGAAGGAUUUGG
Pelecanus crispus (Dalmatian pelican) is the source of this 46-nucleotide non-coding RNA. The record is from Rfam. NCBI's taxonomy places the organism in Eukaryota, Metazoa, Chordata, Aves, Pelecaniformes, Pelecanidae.